This 372-nucleotide long non-coding RNA is filed under the name Malus domestica (apple). RNAcentral describes it as "long non-coding RNA (MDOM_LNC014751)". Lineage: Eukaryota; Viridiplantae; Streptophyta; Magnoliopsida; Rosales; Rosaceae. The record is from RNAcentral.
GAAUAAUGGGUUAGGGGUGAUGCUCACAGUGAGGCGGUUGCUCAGUAGGCGGUGAUGCUCUCUAAUGAUGGUGAGGGGAUCAUUUUUAUAGAAUAAGGGUUCGCUCCUCAGUACAUGAAUAAUGGGUGCUCUCUAAUGAAAGUGAGGGAGUCCAUUUUAUAGAAUAAGGGCUCGCUCCUCAAUACAUAAAUAAUGGGCUAAGUCCCCUAAGUAUUUUUUAUGAGGCCCAGUUGAGGCCCAAUAUAUGGUACAUAAUGUAGUCCCCCAAGUCUUCGGUCAAUAGAGUAUGUUGGUUGGAGACUUCAAAUUGAAUUCAUGUAUGGCCCGAAAUGGCGGUUGUUCGGAGGCGGUAUUUGUAUAUCCUACACUGAA